UCGGCCGGGCAAGGCGGCGGGGCGCGGGGCACUGGCAGGGCUCCCCGGCCCGAUCUCCAUGUACAGCUACAUGUUUAGGGCCGCUCGGGUUAAUAUAUGUCGUCAGAAGCGGCGGCCGCCAAUGGCCGGGGCGGGGGCGGAGCCCGCCGCCCUCCGCAAUAAAACUUUUUGAUGUUCGCUCUGCUAAUUGCCGAGCUCCUCUUUUAGGAUUGGCUGCCCCUCCGCAUCCCUAAUGUAAUUAAAACAAGGGGGGAAAAAUUAUCAUGGAGGCAGAGGUUAAUGCAAGUGUUUAGCAGAUGCCUUACAGUAAAACCUGCGUUAAAAAAAAAAAAAAAAAAAAAAUUGAAAAAAACCCCAAACAACAAAAAAACCCCUACAAACUCAUUAAAACUUAAAUAUCGGAUAAUCUCAAACCAGGUACAGUAUGGAUCCAAGAAGUUUCUCGGCAAAAGUCUGUGUGAGAGCUAGAUAGGCUCUGAGGUUGCUCUGGCAAAGUGCUUUGUGCCGGUCCGGCAGAGGAACAAAUAAAUCCGGCUUCGGAGGGCACUUCAUCGAUGCCCGACUCCGACAGGCAUGGCCCAGCAGCGCUGCGGCUUAUACCCGUGUUGCUGGUUAGUACACACCACGGGAUCGCUGGUUCCCGUGAGGAGGGAGGCGAAGCUGCUCUGCCUUGCCUGACACCCAGCUUGCGAGCCGGCUUAGCAUGGGCUGGCUCCGGCCGCGCUCCUGCUGACUGAGCGAGGGAGAGGAGCGCUCGGGGCUUGCACGGGGAUGCUUUUGAAAGAAUUGUUUUGAGACAUUAACAAUAAGCCCGACUCUGACUGAUUCUUUUCCAGCUUACUGACUGCGCCUAUGCACCUCCACCACCAGCGUUCACCCGAGUGACUCAGGCGCCUGAAAUCGGUUUCAUGCUUCUUGAACCGAUAUGAUCGGAAAGUUAAGAAGACGGAAAAUGAAGAAGUGUACCUCCCCAGACCUGGAGGGAAACGGAGCGGCGGCCAAAAGGAGUGGGUGUAAAUGCGACAACAAAAAUAAAUACUUUAUAUCACCCUGCAGAACUUAUUUUACUAAGUCAACAUUUUGUUUUUCUGCUGCUCACCUUUUCUUUCCUCUAGGGAGAGACAAUGCUCACUUUUUAUUAGGUAUUCCCUAAAAGUUUGUUUUGAUCCCCGCCCAGGUGUGUGUAUAUGUACAUACAUAUAUACAAUCAACAGGCUGAGGUUCAUGUGUGAGCAGAGGGGACCGGGAGGAGGGGAGAUCAGAUGCUCUUAGGUAAGAUCCCACGGCCCUACAGGCUGCAGGCGACUCAUUGCAAAGCCCCCGUUGUUCGGAGGUGAUUUAUAAAAUCGAGACCGGGCAGAUAUCAAUGUCAUUCAAGUGUGAGCGCUCUGAGAAAGCCUGCAGAAGAGGGCUGCGACCCACAUUCCCUCCCAGGCAUUAGCGCCUUUCCAAAUACUAUCGACAUUUCUGCCGGAGGUCUCCCUGGUGUGUAACACGGGGCUCAGACAGGCGCUAAUUGAACACGUAGCGUGUGCGAGGUUGCGACAAUGAGCGUCGGGGCAGGCUCACACAGCGGCAGAAAUGGGAGCGAUGGGUAGAAGGGAAGGAGCGUCACAGGCCCCCGAGCAGUGCGUGUUGG
Molecule: long non-coding RNA, 1639 nt
Organism: Cyanistes caeruleus (blue tit)
Lineage: Eukaryota; Metazoa; Chordata; Aves; Passeriformes; Paridae
Source: Ensembl